This 1033-nucleotide long non-coding RNA is filed under the name Canis lupus familiaris (dog). Its description in RNAcentral is "lncRNA (ENSCAFG00030011013.1)". The record is from RNAcentral. Lineage: Eukaryota; Metazoa; Chordata; Mammalia; Carnivora; Canidae.
CAGUUUCAACUUAGAGAUUUAGAAAGCUAGAAAAAGUUUUGCUUCCAGUAUUACAACAAUAACCAUAAAGCUGGACAUAAUGCAAAUAAAUGACUUUUCUUGAUCCCAUUAGGAAAUUGAGAUUUCAGGGAAAACACUAAAUAGAAAACUGGGGAGAUAUAGCCUCUUACAAGAGGAAAUAAGAUACAAGCAUUUUUUAUUUAACCUGGAGCAGAAACCAUCGUUACCAUAUAAACUGAUAAGAUUCAGCUUCUUUGGGAAUUUAAUGAAUUGUUAAACACUAAAUGUGGGCUAGUAUGAGAAAGUUAAAUCCCUGGGGGCCAUAGACAAGAAGGGUUUCACCAUCUUUCUUUUCCUCCAAUAACUCCACCACAUAAUCAUAGUGAAGACCAGGAAAUAUUCAAAUGUAAAGGAACUGUCUGGGAGAAGACAGUGGGAAGAGCAGCAAUUGUUGCCAAAACUUCUUUCAAACUCAUUUUAUAUAAAACAAAUAAAAUUUUAUCCUGAAGAAAUCAGAGAUGUUCACAAGUAAUUCUGUAUGAAAAUUUUCAUUCUAGAGUUUAUAAUAGCAAAUGGAAUAAAAGAAAACUAAUAUUCAAUCAAAAGGGGGAUAUUAAAUUUAUUUUGUAUGAUAGAGUAAAAUAUAUAUGUGGGAAUCGGUGCUCCUGAUAUUUUAAGCCUGUAAGUAGAAAUCCUAUAUAUCUUUUCAUAUAUAGGAAAAGAAACUGGAAUGGAAUGCACCUAUUGGUGCAUUGGCUAUGUAUGGUUCUAUUCUCUACUUCUUUCUGCAUUUUCUUAAUUUUUCACAGCUAAAUUUUAUUACUUAAUAAAAUGUUUUUUAAAAAAAAGAAUUUAAUACUGUGAAGCAUAUAAUGUUGGGAGGAAGAUUUUGCAGAACCAGAUAGAGAUGAGCUUACUUUAACACAAGGACUAUCAGUUUAUUGUAGGUUUUGACCAAAGCUCCAUUUAUUUUCACACACUAAAAGCCACACAAGUAUUUGUGGGAGGUCCCUGGACCUGAACUGGCUGGAUU